This 292-nucleotide ribosomal RNA is filed under the name uncultured microorganism. RNAcentral's name for it is "partial 16S ribosomal RNA". It matches the Rfam family "Bacterial small subunit ribosomal RNA", at positions 505 to 796 of the family's 1533-position model. The record is from RNAcentral.
GUGCCAGCAGCCGCGGUAAUACGGAGGAUGCAAGCGUUAUCCGGAUUCAUUGGGUUUAAAGGGUGCGCAGGCGGGGCAAUAAGUCAGUGGUGAAAUCCUGCGGCUUAACCGUAGAACUGCCAUUGAUACUGUUGCCCUUGAGUAUAGUUGAGGUGGGCGGAAUAUGUAAUGUAGCGGUGAAAUGCAUAGAUAUUACAUAGAACACCAAUUGCGAAGGCAGCUCACUAAGCUAUCACUGACGCUGAGGCACGAAAGCGUGGGGAGCGAACAGGAUUAGAUACCCUGGUAGUCC